UUACAAGCAGUGUAUAGGGCACAGAGAAUUUUGAUUUCUUUAGAGAGGCGUAAAUCUCCUAG
Molecule: transfer RNA, 62 nt
Filed under: Baicalia turriformis
Lineage: Eukaryota; Metazoa; Mollusca; Gastropoda; Littorinimorpha; Baicaliidae
Description: tRNA-Gln
Source: RNAcentral